AGUCAAUGCCAACAACUCAUUGCCUUGCUUAGGUCCUAGUUGUAGCAUAGCUCACCUUCAACUGUGGAAUCGCAACAACAGGGUGGCCCUUCCGUCUCCAGCUUCAGUGGUAAAGUCAUUUUGUUUUCCUCUUGUUCUUCAAUUCCUCUUAAUUCUUGGGUCAUGGAUACUGGGGCAACGCACCAGGUUUGCUGCACUCUAAGUUUAUUCAAAUCCAGUUUUCUAUCUUUCAAUUCCAGUGUCACUCUUCCUAAUGGGGAAUCCGUAGUCACUACUCGUAUACGAUCCAUAAAACUAUUUGAUCAUUUUGUGCUUGAGAACGUCUUAUAUAUUCCCCAAUUUCGAUUCAACUUGCUUUCCAUUAGUGCCCUUACUUAGUCUCAUAGAUGCUUUGUUCAAUUUGAUUUUGAAUCUUGUUUUAUUCAGGACCAUUUGUAGGGGAAGAUGAUUGGGAUGGAUAAACACAGGGGCAACCUUUACAUUUUGGAUCCAACCAACCUUUUUCCCAUCUCAGGUGUUUGUAAUAAUGUCUCUAAGAAAGAACAUGAAGUUUGACAUUCCCAUUUAGGACAUCCUUCUUAUGUUAGACUUAAUGUUUUGAAAAAUGUAUUGCAUUUUAAACAACUCCUUAAUAAAACAUCUCAUUGUUCAAUUUGUCAUUUAGUAGAGCAGAACAUUUACCAUUUCCUAAUUCUAAUUCUGUGUCAAUUUCUGCUUUUGAAUUGUUGCAUUUGGAUAUUUGGGGUGCUUUCCAUUUACUAACCCAUGCUGGGUUCCAUUAUUUCCUUUCCAUUGUGGAUGAUUUUACUUGUUUUACUUGGGUGUAUUUGUUGAAAGCUAAAUCUGAUGUUGCUAGCAUUUUUCCUCCAUUUUAUAAUCUUGUCCACACAUAAUAUGGUGUUAAAAUCAAAUCAGUUCAUAGUGAUAAUGCACCUGAAUUAGCUUUCACAGAUUUCUUUCAUGACAAAGGGAUAUUGUCUUUCCAUUAUUGUGUUGACACUCCUCAACAAAGCUCUAUUGUGGAACAAAAACACCAACACCUUUUGAAUGUAACCCGAGCUCUAUUGUUUCAAUCUCAUAUCCCAUUAGCAUAUUGGGGUGAUUGCAUUUUAACUGUUACAUAUCUCAGAAAAAUGAUACCUUCCCCUAUCUUGUCUAAUAAAACCCCUUUUGAAGCUUUGUAUCAUAAGGUUCCUUCCUAUAGUCAUCUUCAUACUUUUGGUUGCCUAUGCUAUAGAUCUACACUCACUCGUCAUCGUGAUAACUUCUCUCAUAGGGCAAUUCGGUUUGUGUUCCUCGGUUACCUUCCAGGCUAUAAAGGCUACAAAUUGUUAAAUCUUGAUACUAAUGCAAUUUACAUUAGCAGGGACGUAGUAUUUCAUGAAGCUUUGUUUCAUUUUUGGACAAAUAACCAAGAACUUUCUGUUUCUGAGUUGUUUUCUGACAAUGUUCUUCCUUCUGCACAUAGGAGCACUUUUUCUUCACCUUUUCCUUUGGUCAAUGAUCCAACUCCUACUUCUCCCAAGAAAAAUCUUGUCACUGCUCAUUCUCACCCUUUUUGAGUCACAAAGCCACCCUUCUAUCUCCGAGAUCACCACUGCUAUGCCAUUGUUUCACAACCCACUCCUGUUUUGUAUCUUCUUUCUAGUGGGCUUAGUUAUGAUAAACUCUUAUCUUCUCAUCGUGCCUUAGUUCAUGCUAUCUCUUCACAUGUUGAACCCACUUCUUUCACCCAAGCUGUUGAAAUUCUAGAGUGGCAGCAAGCUAUGCAGGCAGAACUACAAGCUCUUGAGGUGAAUGAUACAUGGUCCUUAACCACCCUUCCUCUUGGUAAAUGAGCUAUGGGAUGUAAAUGGGUUUACAAAUUAAAAUUUCGAGCUGAUGGUACACUUGAGCGUCAUAAAGCACGCUUAUUGGUAAAAUGAUAUACUAAAAAAGACUCUGUGGAUUACGUAGAUACAUUUUCCUCAUUGGCUAAAUUGGUAACAAUUAAACUUUUGUUGGCUUUAACAGCUAUUCAUGGGUGGCAUUUCAUCCAAUUGGAUGUUAACAAUGCUUUUCUUCACGAUGAUUUAAUUGAGGAGGUCUACAUGUGCUUGCCUCAAGGAUAUUCCCAUGAGGGGGAGACUCCUCCUCCUAACACUGUUUGUAGGUUGCACAAGUCAAUUUAUGGCCUCAAACAAGCUUCAAGACAAUGAUUUGCCAAACUUUCAAGAGUACUAUUAAGGAAAGGUUUCACUCAGUCAUCCUCAGAUCAUUCAUUGUUUAUUAAAAAUAAUGUUGACUCUUUCAUUGCAGUUCUUAUGUAUGUGAUGAUAUCAUUGUUGCCAACAAUGAUUCUAACGGUAUUGCAAAUCUCAAAUGCUUUAUUGAUUGUCAAUUCAAGCUUUAGGAUCUUGGACAACUCAAAUACUUUCUUGGUCUUGAAGUAGCCAGGUCAAAGAAGGGAAUCUCUGUUAGCCAAAGACACUAUGCCCUUCAACUACUCUUAGAAGUAGGAUUUCUGGGCUGUAAACCUGCAACUAUCCCCAUGGAAACUAACAUUAAGCUUAUUCAAGAUGAUGGAGAGCCACUCGAAGAUCCUGAAUUGUACAACGCUUAAUUGGCAAGCUUUUAUAUUUGACAAUUACAUGACCAGACUUGUCAUAUGCAGUGAAUCGACUUAUAGUCAGUAUCUUGCAAAUCCAAGGACAUCUCACCUAUAAGCAGUUCAUUGUGUUUUACAAUAUAUCAAAGGAACUGUGGGGUAGGGUCUUUAUUGCUUUUCAUCUUCAACAGUUCAACUAAAUGCUUUUGUAGAUUCAGAUUGGGCUGCUUGCAAAGAAAUGAGGAGAUCAAUUAGUGGUUUUUUGUGUAUUUCUUGGAGAGUCACUGAUUUCAUGGAAAUCAAAUAAGCAAAGCACCGUGUCUCAUUCAUCUGUAGAAGCAGAGUAUCGAGCAAUGGCUAAUGUUACUUGUGAACUGGUUUGCCAAUCCCAUGUUCCAUGAACAGACAAAACGCAUUGAGAUCGACUGUCAUCUUGUGCGAGAGAAGAUUCAAGCAUGUUGUCUUAAAACAAUGCAUGUUUCAUCCAAACACCAGGUUAUUACUAAAGCAUUGUUUCUAGCUCAGUUCAAGUUUUUGCUCAACAAGAUGGGAAUUCACAAUUUGCAUUCUCCAUCAUGAGAGAGGGGAAGGGGGGUCGUAUUAGAAUAUUAUGACAUUUUUGUAAUUAGCAAUUCCCAAUUCAGUUGAUAUAUAUAUAUCUUUUGAUGAGCUGGAGUAGUUAGUGUGGUUGUGAGACUCCAAGCUCCAUAUAGGUCACCAUUUUUGUGCAUCCCGGAACUGUACAGAAAUCAUUGAUGUUUUCUUUUAGGCUUUGUUUUCUU
Molecule: long non-coding RNA, 3369 nt
Organism: Vitis riparia (riverbank grape)
Lineage: Eukaryota; Viridiplantae; Streptophyta; Magnoliopsida; Vitales; Vitaceae
Exons: 2
Source: RefSeq, a predicted model, not a curated record